GAUGAAGAACGUAGCGAAAUGCGAUAAGUAAUGUGAAUUGCAGAAUUCAGUGAAUCAUCGAAUCUUUGAACGCACCUUGCGCCCUUUGGCUAUUCCGAAGGGCAUGCCUGUUUGAGGAUCAUGAACACCUCAACUCUUUAUGGUUUUCCAUGAAGGGCUUGGACUUUGGGGGUCUUGCUGGCCUUUAGUCAGCUCCUCUCAAACGAAUCAGCUUUCCAGUGUUUGGCAGCGUCACAGGUGUGAUAACUAUCUACGCUUGUGGUUUUCUGCCAGGUAAUCCUCAGUGAUGGGGAUUCGCUGGGGCUUAUAAAUGUCUCUCCUCAGCGAAGACAGCUUUGUGAACGUUUGAUCUCAAAUCAGGUAGGACUACCCGCUGAACUUCAGCAUAUCAAUAAGCGGAGGA
This 403-nucleotide unclassified non-coding RNA is filed under the name soil metagenome. RNAcentral's name for it is "partial contains 5.8S ribosomal RNA, internal transcribed spacer 2, and large subunit ribosomal RNA". The stretch from base 1 to 121 matches the Rfam family "5.8S ribosomal RNA", at positions 35 to 154 of the family's 154-position model. The record is from RNAcentral.